Cyprinus carpio (common carp) is the source of this 1568-nucleotide long non-coding RNA. NCBI's taxonomy places the organism in Eukaryota, Metazoa, Chordata, Actinopteri, Cypriniformes, Cyprinidae. The record is from Ensembl.
UGUUUGUAGAUGACAAUUUAAUUACAUAAGUAAUAAUCAUAAGAUCUCAGUUUCUCCUGCUUCUCAUAUCCUCACUCUGCACCAAAAGGCACUAGUUAAUUUGCAAGGAGGAACCCCCACACACACACUAGAAGAUUAGAUCAGCUAAAUUUUUUAAAGUGAAUCUAUUUAAUUUUGAGAUUUAUGUUUCAAAUAAGACAUUAUAUUUGAGCAUGCUGAGAUGUUAAAUAUUUCUCUGAGCAUAAGUGAUUGUGAAGUUAUGAGCAUCUGUAGCAAUGCCACACAUCGCCUGAAGAGGGCGACUGAUCUACAUGACUGCGUGAGCGCGCUCUGUUUACAGAGAGAGAGAAACAUGAGUCUACAUGCAUGCACUCAAGCGCAUCAUAUGUACAUGAUGGCCUCAUGUUCUCUUUCUGCUUUCUGCUUAUUGUUUGGAAGGAGCUGCCUUUCUGUUUGAGUCAGAUUCAUUACUCAGAGCUUCACAGAGCAGGAACAUCUGGAGCUGUGUCAGGCAGCAGAGAGUUUUUAUGUGCCUAAAUAUGCUGCCAGACUGCAAGGCCUCAUUGCUUACAGCCCAUAAUAUGACCGAUAUUUGGUCUCAACAGCACAAUACAGCAAACACAUCUAGUGUGCGGUGAACUUUUGGCUCAUUCAAAUGGAUGUUGCAAACCAUGAACCAGCUGCUUUCAUAAAUCACAGCCAUAAUUGGAGGAGGCAUAUGAAGGCAUCACAUGAAUGUUCCAGACUGUUCUAGAAGUUCCAGGAAAAAGAGCCCCAGAGGUUUUCCGAACACCAAAAAGGACAGAGAGCGAGAAAGACAGAGUCUCUGAGGACAUGGGGGUGACCCUGGGGGAAGUGGCACUGAGAUACAGCUGCAAGACCGAGUCCCUGAGCUCCUGGACUCAUUCACACACAAGCACUUACAGCCACAUGCACAAAAUUGCCAUUUACUGUGAAAAUUCUGCUCUUUCUGACACAUUCCAGCCUAACGUGCUCUGCUGUCUCCAAUCACAGACGCCUCGGCUGUCUCAUGGGAUAGUGCUCUGUCAGUUUGUUUUCUGGAAAAGGACUGCAAGUGAGAAGUCAUGCUAAAGUAUGAGAUUAGACUUAGACUACAGUGUCAAAAAGAUUUUUCAAAAGUUAUUGUAGUAUAUCGUUGAGUCAUUGAAUCAUUUAUUCAACACAUUCAGCCAGAAACAGUUCAUAAGAAUAGGUCGUUGAAUCAUUCACUCAAUUGAUUUGCUCAAAAAUGCAGAUUAAUUCAGUGACCAGACCCCACUGUUUAGAGAUGUACAAUUCUGAUGUGCUUUAUUUGGAACUACUUUUGUUGGUGAAAAACACACUGUAAAUUCAAAAAUUCAAUUUGAAAAUUUGAAAAAAAAAAAAUAUAUAUAUAUAUUUUAUUGUAAACAAAACAAAGGUUAUUGGAGUCUGUUUUACAAGAAAAUGCUGUUUUAAUCUUUCUACUUGUAAAUUUCACACACAUCGCUUUGGAAUUAUUUGUCAAUUGUUCUAGCAAUUUCCGAGGUAAAAUUAAGUUAAUAAAAAAUAAAUAAACCUAGAAUGCA